This 497-nucleotide ribosomal RNA is filed under the name uncultured bacterium. RNAcentral describes it as "partial 16S ribosomal RNA". It matches the Rfam family "Bacterial small subunit ribosomal RNA", at positions 28 to 507 of the family's 1533-position model. The record is from RNAcentral.
GAUGAACGCUGGCGGCGGGCCUAACACAUGCAAGUCGAGCGAUCAGACGAGGAGGUUGGCCCCUUUACGGUAGCGGCGGACGGGGGUGUGACAUGUGGGGAAACCAGCUAUAAGACUGGGAUAAACUCGUGAAACCGGUAGCAAAUACGGCAUAUAGUCUCAAGCGCAUGGUGGAAGAGUGUAGGACGGCUUUCCAUCCGAUGAUCGAUGGAGCCGUGCGGCAUUAGCUAGUUGGUAAGGUAACGGCUUACCAAGGCAGCGAUGCGUAGCCGACCUGAGAGGGUGAUCGGCCACACUGGAACUGAGACACGGUCCAGACUCCUACGGGAGGCAGCAGUAGGGAAUCUUGCACAAUGGGCGCAAGCCUGACGGAGCAACGCCGCGUGUGUGAUGAAGGCCUUCGGGUCGUAAAGCUCUGUUAUUGGGGAAGAACAAAUGUGUAAUUAACUCUGCACUUAUUGACGUUACCUGCACAGGAAGCCCCGGCUAACUCCGUG